Molecule: long non-coding RNA, 238 nt
Filed under: Medicago truncatula (barrel medic)
Lineage: Eukaryota; Viridiplantae; Streptophyta; Magnoliopsida; Fabales; Fabaceae
Description: long non-coding RNA (MTRU_LNC006960)
Source: RNAcentral
UCAUCAACAACUCAAGGUUAAAUAACAACUUAUCAACAACGACACAACUUCAACAAUUCAUCAACGACAACGUCAACCUGACAACACAACUACGUGAGAGUACAUCACCUCUUAUAAUACGACAACAUAAGAAUACAUCACCUCUUAAAGAAUAACAACGUAAGAGUACACCACCUCUUAUAAACGACAAGUAAGAGUACACCACCUCUUAAAGAAUAACAACGUAAGAGUACACCAC